UGGCUCAGGAUGAACGCUGGCGGCGUGCCUAAUACAUGCAAGUCGAACGAGUUCUGAUUAUUGAAAGGUGCUUGCAUCUUGAUUUAAUUUUGAACGAGUGGCGGACGGGUGAGUAACACGUGGGUAACCUGCCCUUAAGUGGGGGAUAACAUUUGGAAACAGAUGCUAAUACCGCAUAAAUCCAAGAACCGCAUGGUUCUUGGCUGAAAGAUGGCGUAAGCUAUCGCUUUUGGAUGGACCCGCGGCGUAUUAGCUAGUUGGUGAGGUAACGGCUCACCAAGGCAAUGAUACGUAGCCGAACUGAGAGGUUGAUCGGCCACAUUGGGACUGAGACACGGCCCAAACUCCUACGGGAGGCAGCAGUAGGGAAUCUUCCACAAUGGACGCAAGUCUGAUGGAGCAACGCCGCGUGAGUGAAGAAGGCUUUCGGGUCGUAAAACUCUGUUGUUGGAGAAGAAUGGUCGGCAGAGUAACUGUUGUCGGCGUGACGGUAUCCAACCAGAAAGCCACGGCUAACUACGUGCCAGCAGCCGCGGUAAUACGUAGGUGGCAAGCGUUAUCCGGAUUUAUUGGGCGUAAAGCGAGCGCAGGCGGUUUUUUAAGUCUGAUGUGAAAGCCCUCGGCUUAACCGAGGAAGUGCAUCGGAAACUGGGAAACUUGAGUGCAGAAGAGGACAGUGGAACUCCAUGUGUAGCGGUGAAAUGCGUAGAUAUAUGGAAGAACACCAGUGGCGAAGGCGGCUGUCUGGUCUGUAACUGACGCUGAGGCUCGAAAGCAUGGGUAGCGAACAGGAUUAGAUACCCUGGUAGUCCAUGCCGUAAACGAUGAAUGCUAGGUGUUGGAGGGUUUCCGCCCUUCAGUGCCGCAGCUAACGCAUUAAGCAUUCCGCCUGGGGAGUACGACCGCAAGGUUGAAACUCAAAGGAAUUGACGGGGGCCCGCACAAGCGGUGGAGCAUGUGGUUUAAUUCGAAGCAACGCGAAGAACCUUACCAGGUCUUGACAUCUUUUGAUCACCUGAGAGAUCAGGUUUCCCCUUCGGGGGCAAAAUGACAGGUGGUGCAUGGUUGUCGUCAGCUCGUGUCGUGAGAUGUUGGGUUAAGUCCCGCAACGAGCGCAACCCUUAUGACUAGUUGCCAGCAUUUAGUUGGGCACUCUAGUAAGACUGCCGGUGACAAACCGGAGGAAGGUGGGGAUGACGUCAAAUCAUCAUGCCCCUUAUGACCUGGGCUACACACGUGCUACAAUGGAUGGUACAACGAGUUGCGAGACCGCGAGGUCAAGCUAAUCUCUUAAAGCCAUUCUCAGUUCGGACUGUAGGCUGCAACUCGCCUACACGAAGUCGGAAUCGCUAGUAAUCGCGGAUCAGCACGCCGCGGUGAAUACGUUCCCGGGCCUUGUACACACCGCCCGUCACACCAUGAGAGUUUGUAACACCCGAAGCCGGUGGCGUAACCCUUUUAGGGAGCGAGCCGUCUAAGGUGGGACAAAUGAUUAGGGUGAAGUCG
RNAcentral lists this ribosomal RNA (1506 nucleotides) under Limosilactobacillus reuteri. Its description in RNAcentral is "Lactobacillus reuteri 16S ribosomal RNA". It matches the Rfam family "Bacterial small subunit ribosomal RNA". The record is from RNAcentral. Lineage: Bacteria; Bacillati; Bacillota; Bacilli; Lactobacillales; Lactobacillaceae.